AUUUGGACCUGCAGUAAGGCUGCAAGGAGUCCAUUCUCCUGCGAGCUCCUGCAAGGGACGGGGAGCAGGUCUCUGUGUGUGGCUCCCACUGAGCACGAUCAUGGCACCCAAGACAUUCUUAAUGAGCGAGUGUUAAACUGAGCUGUGCUGCCAAAGCCCAGGGGGUGACUGGUCUAAGAUCACCCAGAGUGUGGCCAGGACUCAGCCUUUGUCUGUGGGGCCCUCCAGCCCGCCUCACUAUGGAGCAUCCUCAGUGCAUACCUGGGACACAGAAGCCAAGGCCUGCACCGGCCUUCACCCACCGAGCCAAGCAGCUGGACUGUCAGACUCGGGGAUGGGCAUA
Eptesicus fuscus (big brown bat) is the source of this 343-nucleotide long non-coding RNA. RefSeq lists it as uncharacterized. The record is from RefSeq and is a predicted model, not a curated record. The transcript has 3 exons. NCBI's taxonomy places the organism in Eukaryota, Metazoa, Chordata, Mammalia, Chiroptera, Vespertilionidae.